UAUAUAAAUGAUAUUAAACUUCAAAGUUAAUUUAUGGCCCAGUAGUCUUUAAUGAAGAGGUUAAAGAAUAAGAAAAGCCUAGAAAUUUCUAUUAGGUUUAGGAGUUAUCUAAGUCCUAAUUGUAAUAGGAUUUGCAAAGUUGUGCCUCCUAU
This 152-nucleotide small RNA is filed under the name Arabidopsis thaliana (thale cress). RNAcentral describes it as "ATSL169580". Lineage: Eukaryota; Viridiplantae; Streptophyta; Magnoliopsida; Brassicales; Brassicaceae. The record is from RNAcentral.